RNAcentral lists this ribosomal RNA (371 nucleotides) under Stenohippus aequus. Its description in RNAcentral is "partial 16S ribosomal RNA". It matches the Rfam family "Archaeal large subunit ribosomal RNA", at positions 1944 to 2552 of the family's 2987-position model. Lineage: Eukaryota; Metazoa; Arthropoda; Insecta; Orthoptera; Acrididae. The record is from RNAcentral.
GUCUGGCCUGCUCACUGAUAAUUUUGAAGAGCCGCGGUAUUUUGACCGUGCAAAGGUAGCAUAAUCAUUAGUCUCUUAAUUAGAGGCUGGAAUGAAUGGCUUGACGAGAAAUUAACUGUCUCUUAAUAAAUUUUUGAAUUUAACUUUUAAGUUAAAAGGCUUAAAUAAUUCUUUAGGACGAGAAGACCCUAUAGAGCUUGACAUUUUAUUUAUAUUUAGUUUUAUGUUAGUCUUUCUAUAUUUAAUGAUAAUGUUUUGUUGGGGUGACAUGAAGAAUUAAUAAACUCUUCAUUAAUGUAAUCAUUAAUUUAUGUUUAUUUUGAUCCAUAAUUUAUGAUCAUAAGAUUAAGUUACCUUAGGGAUAACAGCGU